This 843-nucleotide ribosomal RNA is filed under the name uncultured bacterium. RNAcentral describes it as "bacterial SSU rRNA". It matches the Rfam family "Bacterial small subunit ribosomal RNA", at positions 85 to 932 of the family's 1533-position model. The record is from RNAcentral.
UCGCUGACGAGUGGCGGACGGGUGAGUAAUGCUUGGGAACUUGCCUUUGCGAGGGGGAUAACAGUUGGAAACGACUGCUAAUACCGCAUAAUGUCUACGGACCAAACGGGGCUUAGGCUCCGGCGCAAAGAGAGGCCCAAGUGAGAUUAGCUAGAUGGUGAGGUAAAGGCUCACCAUGGCAACGAUCUCUAGCUGUUCUGAGAGGAAGAUCAGCCACACUGGGACUGAGACACGGCCCAGACUCCUACGGGAGGCAGCAGUGGGGAAUAUUGCACAAUGGGGGAAACCCUGAUGCAGCCAUGCCGCGUGUGUGAAGAAGGCCUUCGGGUUGUAAAGCACUUUCAGUUGUGAGGAAAGGGUGUUGGUUAAUACCCAAUAUCUGUGACGUUAACAACAGAAGAAGCACCGGCUAACUCCGUGCCAGCAGCCGCGGUAAUACGGAGGGUGCGAGCGUUAAUCGGAAUUACUGGGCGUAAAGCGCACGCAGGCGGUUUGUUAAGCUAGAUGUGAAAGCCCCGGGCUCAACCUGGGACGGUCAUUUAGAACUGGCAGACUAGAGUCUUGGAGAGGGGAGUGGAAUUCCAGGUGUAGCGGUGAAAUGCGUAGAUAUCUGGAGGAACAUCAGUGGCGAAGGCGACUCCCUGGCCAAAGACUGACGCUCAUGUGCGAAAGUGUGGGUAGCGAACAGGAUUAGAUACCCUGGUAGUCCACACCGUAAACGCUGUCUACUAGCUGUGUGUGAAUUUAAUUCGUGCGUAGCGAAGCUAACGCGCUAAGUAGACCGCCUGGGGAGUACGGCCGCAAGGUUAAACUCAAAUGAUUGACGGGGGCCCGCACAAGCGG